GGAUUAGAUACCCUGGUAGUCCACGCCGUAAACGAUGAGAACUAGGCGUUGGGGGUUUCCCUUAGUGCCGCAGCUAACGCGAUAAGUUCUCCGCCUGGGGAGUACGGCCGCAAGGUUAAAACUCAAAGGAAUUGACGGGGGCCCGCACAAGCGGUGGAGCAUGUGGUUUAAUUCGAUGCAACGCGAAAAACCUUACCUAUCCUUGACAUCCUGGGAAUUCUCUAGAAGUAGAGAAGUGCCUUCGGGAACCCAGUGACAGGUGCUGCAUGGCUGUCGUCAGCUCGUGCCG
RNAcentral lists this ribosomal RNA (289 nucleotides) under uncultured bacterium. RNAcentral describes it as "partial 16S ribosomal RNA". It matches the Rfam family "Bacterial small subunit ribosomal RNA", at positions 775 to 1067 of the family's 1533-position model. The record is from RNAcentral.